RNAcentral lists this ribosomal RNA (253 nucleotides) under uncultured bacterium. Its description in RNAcentral is "partial 16S ribosomal RNA". It matches the Rfam family "Bacterial small subunit ribosomal RNA", at positions 524 to 776 of the family's 1533-position model. The record is from RNAcentral.
GACAGAGGUGCCGAGCGUUAGGCGGAAUCACUGGGCUUAAAGCGUGUGUAGGCGGACCGUUAAGUACCUUGUGAAAUCCCACGGCUCACCCGUGGAACGGCUGGGUAGACUGGCGGUCUUGAGCGGCCUAGGGGCAGAUGGAACAGACGGUGGAGCGGUGAAAUGCGUAGAUAUCGUCUGGAACGCCAAAGGUGAAGACAGUCUGCUGGGGGCCUGCUGACGCUGAGACACGAAAGCCAGGGGAGCGAACGGG